Molecule: small RNA, 127 nt
Rfam family: isrC Hfq binding RNA
Source: Rfam
CUUUAUGAAAAAGAAAACAAAGCGAGCCUUCUUCUCUGUCGAAUUCAAACUCGAAUACACUCAGCUCAUUGUCUAUAUAAGGUUAUUCAUAUCAGGAAGCCAGUGAAGCCAUGAACGGCGGUUCUUG